GGUUAGGUAGUUCAGUGGUAGAACACCAGCAUGUGGAAACCCGGGUUCAAAUCCCGAUCCAACCG
Scenedesmus sp. NREL 46B-D3 is the source of this 65-nucleotide non-coding RNA. Lineage: Eukaryota; Viridiplantae; Chlorophyta; Chlorophyceae; Sphaeropleales; Scenedesmaceae. The record is from the annotation of a GenBank genome assembly.